Molecule: ribosomal RNA, 596 nt
Filed under: Aureobasidium pullulans
Lineage: Eukaryota; Fungi; Ascomycota; Dothideomycetes; Dothideales; Saccotheciaceae
Description: eukaryotic LSU rRNA
Rfam family: Eukaryotic large subunit ribosomal RNA
Source: RNAcentral
UGAGGAAAAGAAACCAACAGGGUAUGCCCUAGUAACGGCGAAGUGAAGCGGCAACAGCUUCAAAUUUUGAAAGCUAGCCUUCGGGUUUCGCAUUUGUAAUUCUGUAGAGGAUGAUUUGGGGAAGCCGCCUGUCUAAGUUCCUUCGGAACAGGACGUCAUAGAGGGUGAGAAUCCCGUAUGUGACAGGAAAUGGCACCCUAUGUAAAUCUCCUUCGACGAGUCGAGUUGUUUGGGAAUGCAGCUCUAAAUGGGAGGUAAAUUUCUUCUAAAGCUAAAUAUUGGCGAGAGACCGAUAGCGCACAAGUAGAGUGAUCGAAAGAUGAAAAGCACUUUGGAAAGAGAGUUAAAAAGCACGUGAAAUUGUUGAAAGGGAAGCGCUUGCAAUCAGACUUGUUUAAACUGUUCGGCCGGUCUUCUGACCGGUUUACUCAGUUUGGACAGGCCAGCAUCAGUUUCGGCGGCCGGAUAAAGGCUCUGGGAAUGUGGCCUCCACUUCGGUGGAGGUGUUAUAGCCCAGGGUGUAAUACGGCCAGCCGGGACUGAGGUCCGCGCUUCGGCUAGGAUGCUGGCGUAAUGGUUGUAAGCGACCCGUCUGA